RNAcentral lists this unclassified non-coding RNA (200 nucleotides) under uncultured Basidiomycota. Its description in RNAcentral is "sequence contains ITS1". The record is from RNAcentral. Lineage: Eukaryota; Fungi; Basidiomycota.
CCGAACCGUCAAACACGGGUUGUCGCUGGCCCUCAAAAGGGGCACGUGCACGCUCUGUUUACACAUCCAUCCACACCUGUGCACCCUCUGUAGUUCUGUGGUUUGGGAGACCCCAUCUUCCUUCCGUAGCUCUACGUCUUUACACACACGCUGUAGUGAAGUUUUGUGGAAUGUUUUUCUGCGUUUAACGCGAUACAAUA